UCUCGAACUGCUCUUUCAUUGUUUUCGGUUUUGCUGUCCGUGGCUCUGUCUCGCUAUCUUCUUUCUCGGUCUCACUUGCUCUCAGACUGGAUAGUUUUUCGACUUGGAAGGAAAUCGGUUUCGAGGUUUGCCAGAUUUGUGGAGUUGUGAUUGGGGGUUGAAGAUUUUGGUGUUUUUGCGUUUGUUUUCAUCUGCGAUUGACGAAUUUUGGCCGGAUCUGUUCCCUGUUUUUUUUCUCUGUUUGAACGACGGCUGCCUUUCGGUUGUUAAGCGACGACUGUCUUUAGAUCGUUGGAGAAUAAAUUUAUUACAACUGAGGUCCUGCUGACACCAACUCAUCUAGCCAUUGUGAUGGAGUAACUGGGGGAGAACUCUUCGAGAGAAUAAUCAGUGCUGGCAGAUUUAGUGAGGAUGAGGAAUACUCAACCGCGGUUCCAAUUCAUCGUUAUGAAUCGGUGCAAUACGGGUACAAAUUCUUUAUACCCACGCUUAUUGAGGUGAAGUUUGCAAUCCAAUACAUGAGAAGAGUUAUCCAGAAAAAGGCAAAAUAUGACAUAUUAACGUGAACACCAUUAAGAUGUGUGCUUUUCAAGCUUUGUUAUAUCAAAUUUUAAUGCACUUGAUACUUACUUCAGAAUCAUUGGCAUUGAUCAAAUAAGGCAGGCGAGAGAAAAGAAAUUGACAAAGCAGAAAGCUUUAGUGAAAGCUAGAAAGCUUCAGUGAAAGCUAGAAAGCUUCAGGCUAGCAACAGAAAAGGAAUUGACAAAGCAGAAAGCUUUAGAGAAAGCUAGAAAGCUUCAGAUAAUAAUUGUGAAUAUAUUUUGGGUUAUUCUUCUUUUCAUAAGCUCGAAGUGCAAAUGGUACUUGAAAUGCAAUGCUUAUUUUGUGGUUCACAAUUUUCCUGAAAGGUUACAUACAUAUGGUUUAUACAAAGUAAGAGUUUCUGGUGAUGGGAAUUAUCAGAUAUCUGCAAUAAUGAGAAUGCAAAGUAAUAGGUUUGUCAUUUUUUUAUUUAUAUUAAUUUCUUAUUGUUUCGCAGAUUAAUAAUUAUGAGACUGAUUAUAUUUAUUGUGUUACUGUGUGUUGCAAGGUAUAAAUUCUAAUAUGAAUUCUUCAGCUGAUUUGGGGCAGGUGAUAUGAACUUUUAUCUAAAGUUUAUUUGUUUUGUUUCUUCACGAUGCUUAAUGUCAUCCGGAAACAAAUAGUAUUUAUCAUCACCAAGUGGUACAAAAAGUAUUUUAAAUUGUUCUUUAACCAAUCUAUCGCCAAGUUUUCCAAUGGGUUUCUUAUUUUAUUAUCCAUUUUUUCUUUUGCAAUAAACCAAAGUCUUUCCAUGCUCGAGAGUUAAUGUGUGCUCAAAGAGUUAAUUUGUUUUGUUUGAUCAUUCUGUUAUAAUAUUCUAAGUAGUUGCAAGUUUUAAAAAAGGAGGAUAGGUCUUUUUGUUCGCUGAGAAAAAGGGAAAUGUAGGGAGACAGGUCUGUUAUAUGAACAAAUUAGCAUGGUUCAUCCUAAUGCUAUAUAAGUUAGGUUACUGAUUUGUUCAUCCUAAUGGUAUAUAAGUUAGGUUAUUGAUUUGUUUCCUCAUUUCUUCAUUGGUGAUUCGUAUUUUCAGUGAUUUUAAGAAUGGGUAAUAAGUUUUUGUCAAGAGUUAAUGUGUUUAGUUUCAUUUUUUCUAAUUUCUGUUCUAUAUGGUUUUGUGUCAUGUGAGUGGAGUUUCAUCUGAUUCGAGGUUCUAAAAGAGAAACAUAACUUUUUAUUUAUUUGGUCAGAGGAGGGGGGAGGAAGUUCUGUUCAAAUUUGGUUUUUCCAAUGGCUUUGGAAGAAAUUAUAUCGCUAUUGUUAUUACAGGUGUCCAGUUUGCAAAUGACAAGGUAUGCUACAAUCUAUUCUUCUUUGGUAGAUUUGAUUCAAAUUGGUAGAUUUCGGCAAGAAAUAAACUUUUAUCUUUUCUUUUAGUUAAAGACAGUUAGGACAUCAAUUUGUAAAAGAUAUGAAUAUUAACAAUGGUGAUAGAACCAUCAAUCCAUAUAGUUGUAAAUAGAUUUGAACAUAUAUGUAAAUAUUAUAUAUUAUUGCAUAUCGUGUGUAUUUAUA
This 2094-nucleotide small RNA is filed under the name Malus domestica (apple). Its description in RNAcentral is "sRNA MD03G0225900". The record is from RNAcentral. Lineage: Eukaryota; Viridiplantae; Streptophyta; Magnoliopsida; Rosales; Rosaceae.